GUCAUUAACCAGGAGGCCUGCCUAAGGUCAGUGGGAGGACCAGAACUCGGGGGCCAGGGCUCUGCCAACUUACCUGCAACUUACCUGCUGUCAGAAUUCAAAGAAGCACGUAUUCAGUGUCCUGCUUUGUGCCUUGGUUCCUCCUGUGCCACUUCUCUGCCUGAGCAUCCUGUUUUGUCUCGGGAGCACCUUUUCUGUUUGAGCCAGCUCCCACGGAGUGCAGUGCAGACACCCACUGUGAACACCCACUCAGCUCCCCUGGGCCUUUCACCCACGACUUGCCCAGAGGUCUUGCUCUCACGGUGCAAAUAUGAUUGCAACGUGGCUGUGCACGCAACCCACGCCUCUCUGGACCCCGUGCUCCAGAGAAUUCGAGGCAGAGCAGCGUUUCUAUUAUCACUUAGUAAUUGGAGUUUUGUGGGCCUGGGAUUACUGCUAAUGGAAAGCAAAUGGACUCAGAAUCAAGAAAUCAGCCAUUGAACACCCGGCACCACCCAGUAAAGCGAAGAGGCUAUUAUGCCACUUUAUGUGGGUAGUGAUCAUCAUUUGCAGAAAGAUUUGCAAAAACCUUACCAGCCCAUAGAAAUGAUGCCCCGCUAGGCUUUCAAGUGGCCCUGCCCUCCUGGCCCAGAGCAGCUAAGUGGCUGCCCAGGUAGGAAGCCUUACCUAGAGUGUGGAUGGCUGCCCAAGGCCCAGGUGCUCCUCCUUGGCGGCAGAGAGAUUUAGUUUUGUCUUUGCUUUCUCUCUGGUACCCAAACCUCAGACAAGCUCUCUGAACCCAGAGUAUUUCUGUAUGCUCUUCCUUAGACUUCCUCAGCCUCAUCGCCAACCACGGCCCAGAGAACAGGCGGUGACAGGACCGGGAUGGGGCUGCUGUGGGCCAGGAGCCCAGAACAGCGGCUCUUGACUCAAGGAGAGAGAAGUGGCUGUAAAGAGUGACGUUUCUCAGGGUUUGCUGACCCCUGGGCUCCAGGCUAAUCUUGCCCUUUCUCCUCAGUGGGGUAGUGUCAGCAAUCAUACAUUUACAUGAGGGGCCUUUUCUCCACAGAUC
Molecule: long non-coding RNA, 1051 nt
Filed under: Equus asinus (donkey)
Lineage: Eukaryota; Metazoa; Chordata; Mammalia; Perissodactyla; Equidae
Description: lncRNA (ENSEASG00005026793.1)
Source: RNAcentral